UGCAGUCGACGGCAGCAUGAUCUAGCUUGCUAGAUUGAUGGCGAGUGGCGAACGGGUGAGUAAUACAUCGGAACGUGCCCUGUAGUGGGGGAUAACUAGUCGAAAGAUUAGCUAAUACCGCAUACGACCUGAGGGUGAAAGUGGGGGACCGCAAGGCCUCAUGCUAUAGGAGCGGCCGAUGUCUGAUUAGCUAGUUGGUGGGGUAAAGGCCCACCAAGGCGACGAUCAGUAGCUGGUCUGAGAGGACGAUCAGCCACACUGGGACUGAGACACGGCCCAGACUCCUACGGGAGGCAGCAGUGGGGAAUUUUGGACAAUGGGCGAAAGCCUGAUCCAGCAAUGCCGCGUGUGUGAAGAAGGCCUUCGGGUUGUAAAGCACUUUUGUCCGGAAAGAAAUCGCUUCGGUUAAUACCUGGAGUGGAUGACGGUACCGGAAGAAUAAGGACCGGCUAACUACGUGCCAGCAGCCGCGGUAAUACGUAGGGUCCAAGCGUUAAUCGGAAUUACUGGGCGUAAAGCGUGCGCAGGCGGUUGUGCAAGACCGAUGUGAAAUCCCCGAGCUUAACUUGGGAAUUGCAUUGGUGACUGCACGGCUAGAGUGUGUCAG
This 607-nucleotide ribosomal RNA is filed under the name Ralstonia sp. RZ1MS1. Its description in RNAcentral is "bacterial SSU rRNA". It matches the Rfam family "Bacterial small subunit ribosomal RNA", at positions 56 to 654 of the family's 1533-position model. Lineage: Bacteria; Pseudomonadati; Pseudomonadota; Betaproteobacteria; Burkholderiales; Burkholderiaceae. The record is from RNAcentral.